AAUACGUUAAGGGAUUAUGUCUUAUUAAGUUCUAAAUAAUAAGCUGAUAAUGACAAUUUAUUAUUUAAAAGUCUUGACCAAAUCUUGUGCCAGCAGUCGCGGCAAUACAAGUAAGACUAGUGUUAUUCAUCUUUAUUAGGUUUAAAAGGUACCUAGAUUGCAAUUUUAGCCUUAUUAGGGGACAAAAUAUGCUAGAGUUUUAUGUGAGAGGUAGAUGUUAGAGCUGUCGGUGUAGAGAUGAAAUAUUUUGAUACAGGCAGAAAUGAUGAUGGUAAAUACAGACCUUUAUGUAAAAACUGACAUUGAGGGACGAAGGCCUGGGUAGCGAAUAGGAUUAGACACCCUAGUAGUCCAGGCAGAGAAUUAUGAGUGUUAUAUGUUAUUACGCAAAAUUAUGGUAUCUCCAAGUACUGUAAUUAAAAGCGAUAUGUAAUGUAUAAAUUAAAGUGUAAGCAUUCCACCUCAAGAGUAAUGCGGCAACGCAGGAACUGAAAUCAUUAGACCGUUUCUGAAACCAGUAGUGAAGUAUGUUAUUUAAUUCGAUGAUCCUCGAAUAACCUUACCACAAUUUGAAUGUAUUAACAUAAUAACAGCAUUUGCAUAAAAUUUAAUUUUAUUGCGCUGAUAGUAUGUUAAUAUCACAGGCGUUGCACGGUUGUCUUUAGUUGAUGUCGU
RNAcentral lists this ribosomal RNA (675 nucleotides) under Peltaster fructicola. Its description in RNAcentral is "SSU rRNA". It matches the Rfam family "Bacterial small subunit ribosomal RNA", at positions 404 to 1068 of the family's 1533-position model. The record is from RNAcentral. Lineage: Eukaryota; Fungi; Ascomycota; Dothideomycetes.